CCCUCUCUGUUUCUCUCCGAUUCCGUAUCUUUUUGCCUUUUGCACUUGGGAUUAGGGAUUUCAGAAGAAAAGAAUUAAAUUUGGGUCAUUUUGCAAUUCAAGUUAGUAAUUCCAGGAAAAUCAUAAAAAAUUUCGAUAGCAAAAAUCUAAAGGCAGUACAGCUGAUAGGGUUCCCACUAUUUAGAUGGUAUUGGACGGCCAAUAUAUUUGUUAUUUUACCUUAAUAUACAUUUAAUUUAUUUUUGUGAUUCAUUAAGACCUUAACUUCCCGUGUGCCUUCGAGGUAGGUUAGAAGUCUCAAGGUCGCUUACACUUCACAUCUUAGUUCCUCCCAUGGCUCAACACCACACAUUUGCUAGCUCCAUCCAUUACUGCUGGUGCUUAUUGUUGCGACUCGCAUACGGUGAGCCCCAAAAGAUCUUGGAAUUUUACCUUCAUGUUGAGGUUCCACGAAGAGAAGCACAAAUCCAUCUCAACAGGAUAACCACGCUGGGUGCAGCCAAUCAUCGGAGCCCUUUUAGGAGUGUCAGUUUCCAAUAAUUGUGGUCAAAUUUUAAAAUGCUUCUUGAGUGAUCCAAUUUUCCACCAUUUAAAAAUGGUGUUACGAUACCCAUAAAAGUUUAGUCUGGUAAAGAUAGGUAUUUUUGAUCAAGUAUAAUUCUUUAAAUGGGUCAUCAAUGGGUCAUUUAAGGUUCGGCCAGUUACCAUAGGUGCCCCGACGCCUGUUUUCUUGUCAUCGCAAAGUUCGUAGCUGGGGAAAAGGAAACUGUACAUUUAGACACGGAUGUUGUACAUUCUGGAAACCAUGUUAUCCCCGCUGGAUCUGAUCGGCAACACAAAACGACGGCGUCGAUUUUGACGGG
RNAcentral lists this long non-coding RNA (863 nucleotides) under Musa acuminata (dwarf banana). Its description in RNAcentral is "long non-coding RNA (MACU_LNC003903)". Lineage: Eukaryota; Viridiplantae; Streptophyta; Magnoliopsida; Zingiberales; Musaceae. The record is from RNAcentral.